GGUGGAGCAGAUCAGACCUGGGGGAAUUUCACCAGAAUAUCAUAUAGUGAUGAAAUGAGCGCCGCCGAUUGAUCGCCAGUAAGGUAUUGGGUGCAGAAUCACGUCGAAAACUUGUUUUUAUACAUUUUAGUACAUAAAAUAAGAAAAUGUAAAAAAGAAAAAAAAAGACCAGGCCGUUUCAGCAAAUCAGCCAAAGAUGCUUAAAUAUGACACAACAGAAAGCCAUCAGCUUCUGAACACGUCAGCCAGACAACACAUCCUCUGUAUUCUGAACAGAGGGCAUAGAGGAAUAAGCCAGCAGAAAGGCUAUGUAUACCAUACCUUCAAUACCUACCAGAGAUAUUUAUUUUUGUCAGUAAGAAAUAAGCAUAAGGCGAUCCUGGCAGACCACACUGAGCCCGAAUUAUUACGUCUGGAUUCCUACAUUUGGCAAGAAAAGGGUCAGCAGUAGAGAUUGACACGUUUACCGCAGGGCUCGGUGACUGGCCCAUCUGAGUAUAGUGACUAGCUGAAGAUGGUAUUAGACCAGUGGACUUCUGGCAAUAGUGAUGUCUCCAGGGCUCAAUGACUGGCCCAUUUGAGUAUAGUGACUAGCUGAAGCUAGUAUUAGACCAGUGGAUGUCUGACAAUAGUGAUGUCUUCCUCCUACAGUGUGUCAAUAACCUGUUGAUCUGUUGUCCAGACUGAUCAACUUGUUAUUGUCAUACUGUGUCUCUGAUAAAUCUCCUAGAAUCAACAGGAAAUAUGGCUAGCAAGGAUAAAUAACAAUUUUGUAAUCAUAAGGUUACCUUCCUGGGACAUUGCAUAUGGCAGGGCAGUCAAUAUUUGACGGCCAAGAGGGUACAAGCUUUGAAGGAUUUCCUAGGCCGCAAAACUCCCAUAAAAAGAGAGCUAUUCUGGGGUAAAUAAAUUAUUGUAGAGAACAGGUACCAAACAUUCCCACAACCCUAGGUCCUCUGUAUGAGAAAGCUUCCACAACACCUUUUACUUUGACAGAUGAUGACUGGCUGACAAUACACACACACUGGUUCAAGAACUCUCUCAAGCCCCCGCCCUAGGCCUUCCCAACUAUGAGAUGCCCUUCUUCCUAUUCUGCUACAAGAGCAAAGGGCAUGACACAGGGAUCUUUACUCAACACCAUGGAGCUAGAUUCAAAUUAUGUAUCCUUCUAAGGCUCUGGGCCCUGUAAUCAGGGAUCACCAUGACGUGUUCGUGCCGUAGCCGCCUGUGCACUUUUACUACAAAAGGUUGGCGAUAAAGGUUUACACUCUAUUCAUGCCCCACUGGAUCCAGGAGAUCUUGAACCAGAUACAAACUAAACAUCUUUCAGUAGCUCAUCUGCUAAAGUACAAGGUGGUCCCCUUAUCCUAUACCGGGCAUCUCUUCUUCCUUUUGAGGAGGAAGAAAAGGGGGGAAAAGGUGAUAUAGGGACACAAGACCACAGACAAAGCAGUCUACAGAUGAUAAGCAUGACUGUCUGGCAAUAAAUCCUGUAAAGGAAGCUCCCAUCCCUUCUUUGCUGGCCAAGUUUUUGCAGAAGUGUGCACUUAAUUAACCAAGGUUUACACACCCUAUACCACCCCCAGAAUAGCGACAAUGUUGAAAACUUAAAUGGGAAAUUUUAAAACAAAAUAGUUAAGAUAACGGAAAACAUGAGUAAUUUUUGGCCAGAAUGUCUUCCGAAUACUCUUAAUCCAGUAAGAAAUGCUCCUUAAUGUCCCCAUAGUUUGUCCCUGUACAAAAUUUUGUUUGUGAAUAGGCGUAAGACAUAGUUACAUAGUUCAAAGACUAUCGAGUCCAUCAAGUUCAACCGUCAUCCCUUUUGUUCCCCUACUGAGUUGAUACAUAGGAAGGGAAAAAAAAUCCUUAAAAAGCUGAUGCCAAUUGCUACAUACUAGGAAAUAAAAUCCCUUCCUGAUUCCAAAUAGCAUCAGAAUAAAUCUCUGGAUGAAUGUUCUUACCCAUCUAGUAUCCAUGACCUGUAAUAUUAUUAUGUCUAGAAAUGUAUCCAGGCCAUUUUCUGACUCAUUUAUUGAUUUACCAUGACCACUUCUGGCAGAGAGUUCCACAGUCUCACUGCUCUUACAGUAAAGAACCCCCGUCUGUUCUGGUGUAGAAACCUUAUUUCUUCAAGACAUAGAGGAUGUCCCCUUGUUAUAGAUACAGUUCUGGGUAUAAUAAAUAGUUCAUGGGAGAGAUAUCUGUACUGUCCCCUAAUAUAUUUAUACAUAGUUAUUAGGUCUCCCCUAAGACAGAACUGUACUGCUGACUGAGUAUAUGCAGUCCCUACAUCCACAAUCGUGUCCAUGUAUCUAUCCUUGACCUAGAUUCAAUAACUGGUUUAAAUUCCAUCCAGCUAGGUGAUUGGGUCAUAAUUAAAAAGUUCAAACAGAAGGGGGUAGAAGCUGCACUGGUCCUUUCCAAGUGCUGAUACAACGCAACGUCUUUAAAGAUUGAGGACAAGGACACCUGGAUCCACGCUGGCCACUGCAAGAAGCUGCUGAAAUACACGGGGAAACAGGUCUAAGUAUCAGUGUCGGCUACUGUCUUGCCUUUUCCACCCCAGGUUUGUGCAUGAGUGACCAUCAUUAUCUGUUGUUCAGAAUAAAUGUGCAGUUGGCUAAAGCCGCCAAUCGUACCAACUGUUGGGUGUGUUCCAUCCCGCCACUAGUCAGAGCACAUCGACCAUGGCUGCCAUCUAUGCUGUAUAUAGUUUUUGGUUGUCCAUGGGAAUAUGUAGGGACCUAACAAUUGAAACCCAACAGCACAUUUCUGGAUGACAGAAUGGGUAGGGGGUCUGUAUAACUUCAGUCAUGACCAUAACUCAUGCAUAACCCUCAGCAAGGGUUUUCCAGAAGUCUGAGUGAUCCGCAGGUGUGUUUUUAUUUCAGCUUUGGAGUCAAUGACUUGGAAAUCCCAAUGUGUAAGAAUGUUUUCAAAGUCAGCUUAGCAAAGCAUUAGGCGUCUUUAGAGAUUGGUCCAUUGGUGAUUGGUUGAAGCGGGUUGGAGUAUAUAUAUAUAUAUAUAUAUAUAUAUAUAUAUAAAAAUACUAUUCUUUUCUAUCCUAAUUUUAUAUGUACUUGCCCAAUGUUCCUGUGGCUUGAUGGAGAGAAUUGCCAGGAUCAAGCAACAAAUCAGACCAUGAUAUCAAGAACAAUGUACUAUGAAGCUCAAGACUAAUCAACUAUGAAGAUCAAGCCAUCGUAUCGCAAAUUUGAAGCCGAAAGUUCCAAGCAGGAAAAUCAACAUCCUCUUAAUUUGGACUAUUUUAUUACAUUUCUUAUCGGACUAUUUUAUUACAUUUCUGGACUUCCUGGUGGGAAUGGUCCUUGGGUUGGUCUUCAUUGGUGGGACUUGACUUGGCCUAUCUAGUUCUUCUUACCUCUUGGUAAUAUACCACUAGGAAGAAAUAUGUCAAAAAGGGAGGAACUGUUGUGGAAAUAUUAAGUUGUCACACUGCCUUCAUGGUGGCUUCACACAGUGCGAUAUGGCACAGAUUCAUGUGUUGUCAACUGACAACCAUAGCUGCAGAUGUGUUGGUUAUUGAUGGCACAUGGUGUGUCAUAUCUUCUGUAGGCUGAAUUGUAACCUUGUAACCUAAUGCUGAUUGUAUGUAUGGGUGUGGCUUUGUAAGGUAUAUGUGGGAGUGGCUUUGUAAACCCUCCCUUUUGUUAGCAAUAAAUAAACAUAACCCCCACUAGCAAGGGGGAUUCUUCCUGAACCUGGUGGGAGAACCGCGUUGCUGGAUCAAAAUAUGUUGUUUGUGCUUCUUCAACUAUGGCGAAUUCGCUAUCCUGGCAGACCACACUGAGCCCUAAUUAUUACGUCUGCAUUCCUAAAACAGGAAGACACACCAUACAACACUGUAUAUAUUGUCCAGCCAAUGAGGAUGAGACAUAUACAAUACUGUAUACACUGACCAGGCCACUGAAGAUGACUGUAUUCAAUGCCCAGGCCACUGUGGUUGA
Molecule: long non-coding RNA, 3968 nt
Organism: Hyla sarda
Lineage: Eukaryota; Metazoa; Chordata; Amphibia; Anura; Hylidae
Exons: 6
Source: RefSeq, a predicted model, not a curated record